GCCUACGGGAGGCAGCAGUGGGGAAUAUUGCACAAUGGGGGAAACCCUGAUGCAGCGACGCCGCGUGGGCGAGGAAGUACCUCGGUAUGUAAAGCCCUAUCAGCAGGGAAGAAACAGGACAGUACCUGACUAAGAAGCCCCGGCUAACUACGUGCCAGCAGCCGCGGUAAUACGUAGGGGGCAAGCGUUAUCCGGAUUUACUGGGUGUAAAGGGAGCGUAGACGGUAUGGCAAGUCUGAUGUGAAAACCCGGGGCUCAACCCCGGGACUGCAUUGGAAACUGCCGAACUAGAGUGUCGGAGAGGC
This 305-nucleotide ribosomal RNA is filed under the name uncultured bacterium. RNAcentral's name for it is "bacterial SSU rRNA". It matches the Rfam family "Bacterial small subunit ribosomal RNA", at positions 337 to 658 of the family's 1533-position model. The record is from RNAcentral.